RNAcentral lists this ribosomal RNA (1954 nucleotides) under Eucnemidae sp. UPOL 001229. RNAcentral's name for it is "SSU rRNA". It matches the Rfam family "Eukaryotic small subunit ribosomal RNA". The record is from RNAcentral. Lineage: Eukaryota; Metazoa; Arthropoda; Insecta; Coleoptera; Eucnemidae.
UUGUCUCAAAGAUUAAGCCAUGCAUGUCUCAGUACAAGCCAAAUUAAGGUGAAACCGCGAAAGGCUCAUUAAAUCAGUUAUGGUUCCUUAGAUCGUACCCACAUUUACUUGGAUAACUGUGGUAAUUCUAGAGCUAAUACAUGCUAACAGAGUUCCGACCGGAGACGGAAGGAACGCUUUUAUUAGAACAAAACCAAUCGGCGGCAAACGUUUGCGCGUUCGUCGUCGUACAUUUUGAUGAAUCUGAAUAACUUUUUGCUGAUCGCACGGUCUAGCACCGGCGACGCAUCUUUCAAAUGUCUGCCUUAUCAACUGUCGAUGGUAGGUUCUGUGCCUACCAUGGUUGUAACGGGUAACGGGGAAUCAGGGUUCGAUUCCGGAGAGGGAGCCUGAGAAACGGCUACCACAUCCAAGGAAGGCAGCAGGCGCGCAAAUUACCCACUCCCGGCACGGGGAGGUAGUGACGAAAAAUAACGAUACGGGACUCAUCCGAGGCCCCGUAAUCGGAAUGAGUACACUUUAAAUCCUUUAACGAGGAUCAAUUGGAGGGCAAGUCUGGUGCCAGCAGCCGCGGUAAUUCCAGCUCCAAUAGCGUAUAUUAAAGUUGUUGCGGUUAAAAAGCUCGUAGUCGAAUUUGUGUCCCGCGCCGCCGGUUCAUCGUUCGCGGUGUUUAACUGGCGUGUCCGCGGGACGUCCUGCCGGUGGGCUUAGCUAAAGUACGUCGUACUUUCACGUCGUUCGUCGUGUCGUGGCUUUCGUUCGCGCGAUCGUCCGACCGGCGUGCGCGUGUCACGUUUCGUGCGUAUCAGGCGGCCCAACUUGAAAUCCCGCCGCGGUGCUCUUUACUGAGUGUCGAGGCGGGCCGGCACGUUUACUUUGAACAAAUUAGAGUGCUUAAAGCAGGCUAAAAUUUUGCCUGAAUACUGUGUGCAUGGAAUAAUGGAAUAGGACCUCGGUUCUAUUUUGUUGGUUUUCGGAACCCCGAGGUAAUGAUUAAUAGGAACGGAUGGGGGCAUUCGUAUUGCGACGUUAGAGGUGAAAUUCUUGGAUCGUCGCAAGACGGACAGAAGCGAAAGCAUUUGCCAAAAACGCUUUCAUUGAUCAAGAACGAAAGUUAGAGGUUCGAAGGCGAUCAGAUACCGCCCUAGUUCUAACCAUAAACGAUGCCAGCUAGCGAUCCGCCGACGUUCCUCCGAUGACACGGCGGGCAGCUUCCGGGAAACCAAAGCUUUUGGGUUCCGGGGGAAGUAUGGUUGCAAAGCUGAAACUUAAAGGAAUUGACGGAAGGGCACCACCAGGAGUGGAGCCUGCGGCUUAAUUUGACUCAACACGGGAAACCUCACCAGGCCCGGACACCGGAAGGAUUGACAGAUUGACAGCUCUUUCUUGAUUCGGUGGGUGGUGGUGCAUGGCCGUUCUUAGUUGGUGGAGCGAUUUGUCUGGUUAAUUCCGAUAACGAACGAGACUCUACCCUGCUAAAUAGACGUAUUUCCGACAUCUCGAAGGCCCGCCGGCUGUCCGAUUUCACUUCCUUAACCGGGGUGGUCGCGGUCGCGCGCGGUUUUUACUGUCGGCGUACAAACAAUUCUUCUUAGAGGGACAGGUGGCUUCUAGCUGCACGAGAUUGAGCAAUAACAGGUCUGUGAUGCCCUUAGAUGUUCUGGGCCGCACGCGCGCUACACUGAAGGAAUCAGCGUGUCCUCCCUGACCGAGAGGUCCGGGAAACCCGUUGAACCUCCUUCGUGCUAGGGAUUGGGGCUUGCAAUUGUUCCCCAUGAACGAGGAAUUCCCAGUAAACGCGAGUCAUAAGCUCGCGUUGAUUACGUCCCUGCCCUUUGUACACACCGCCCGUCGCUACUACCGAUUGAAUGAUUUAGUGAGGUCUUCGGACCGGUACUCGGCGGCGUUUCGACGUCGCCGAUGCUGCUGGGAAGAUGACCAAACUUGAUCAUUU